This 203-nucleotide non-coding RNA is filed under the name Prevotella sp. Lineage: Bacteria; Pseudomonadati; Bacteroidota; Bacteroidia; Bacteroidales; Prevotellaceae. RNAcentral also lists the same sequence under 1 other name. The record is from RNAcentral.
UAACUUUGCAGCGCGAAUGGUACAGCGCGUCAGAAUGUUGACAAACUGUUGAAAAGGGAAAGCCGUGAGAAUCGGCUGCAGUACCCGCUGCUGUGAGUCCGCCGACAUCGCUUCCGCAAAAGCCACUGUGGCAGCUACCGCCAUGGGAAGGCCGGAAGAUAAGAGGGACAAGCCAGAAGACCUGCCAUGACGCCUCCGUGUCA